Molecule: non-coding RNA, 489 nt
Organism: Musa acuminata subsp. malaccensis (wild Malaysian banana)
Lineage: Eukaryota; Viridiplantae; Streptophyta; Magnoliopsida; Zingiberales; Musaceae
Source: RefSeq, a predicted model, not a curated record
ACCCUCAUCUUCUCCUCCAACACCACCUUCUCCCCUUCCGAUCAGUGUAGGACCAGGUAACCGCAAGUAUCCGUUUUCGCCUUCGCCAUCGCCAUCGCCGCCCUUCACGACCCCUAACCACUCCUCGCCGGAGACAUCGCCCCUCCUGCACAGGCGGUCAGAGCAGCUGUUUCGAGAGCCUUCUGUGUUUUCUUUGGAUGGCUUUGCAGAGAAGGCCUGCACUAGAAGAAAAUGGUCGCACCACAGGAGCUGGUUGGAAUGGCUUUUUCUGAGAUGCUGCUGUUGCUGCUCAGCCUCCUUUGUGUAGGUUCAGUUUUCAUCCCCACAUGUGAAGCAAAACGAAACCUCACACCACUGAUGGCCAAACACCAACAACUUCUUCAACAGCUUAAAUACUUUGGCAUUUCUGCUUCUGUCAAAAAAUAUAUAUUAUAUAUCCAUUGACAAAAUCAAUCAAAUUGUUGAUUCCCCAGUGAAACAAGUAAAUUU